GAACGCUGGCGGCGGCCUACACAUGCAAGUCGAGCGGUAACAGAUCCAGCUUGCUGGAUGCUGACGAGCGGCGGACGGGUGAGUAAUGCAUAGGAAUCUGCCCGAUAGUGGGGGAUAACCUGGGGAAACCCAGGCUAAUACCGCAUACGUCCUACGGGAGAAAGGGGGCUCCGGCUCCCGCUAUUGGAUGAGCCUAUGUCGGAUUAGCUAGUUGGUGAGGUAACGGCUCACCAAGGCCACGAUCCGUAGCUGGUCUGAGAGGAUGAUCAGCCACAUCGGGACUGAGACACGGCCCGAACUCCUACGGGAGGCAGCAGUGGGGAAUAUUGGACAAUGGGGGAAACCCUGAUCCAGCCAUGCCGCGUGUGUGAAGAAGGCCCUCGGGUUGUAAAGCACUUUCAGCGAGGAAGAACGCCUAGCGGUUAAUACCCGCUAGGAAAGACAUCACUCGCAGAAGAAGCACCGGCUAACUCCGUGCCAGCAGCCGCGGUAAUACGGAGGGUGCGAGCGUUAAUCGGAAUUACUGGGCGUAAAGCGCGCGUAGGUGGCUUGAUAAGCCGGUUGUGAAAGCCCCGGGCUC
This 580-nucleotide ribosomal RNA is filed under the name uncultured bacterium. RNAcentral describes it as "bacterial SSU rRNA". It matches the Rfam family "Bacterial small subunit ribosomal RNA", at positions 31 to 610 of the family's 1533-position model. The record is from RNAcentral.